GACGAACGCUGGCGGCGUGCUUAACACAUGCAAGUCGAGCGGUAAGGCCCUUUCGGGGGUACACGAGCGGCGAACGGGUGAGUAACACGUGGGUGACCUGCCCUCAGCUCUGGGAUAAGCCCGGGAAACUGGGUCUAAUACCGGAUAUGACUUCAUGACGCAUGUUGUGGAGUGGAAAGCCUUGUGCGGCUGAGGAUGGGCCCGCGGCCUAUCAGCUUGUUGGUGGGGUGANGGGCCUACCAAGGCGACGACGGGUAGCCGGCCUGAGAGGGCGACCGGCCACACUGGGACUGAGAUACGGCCCAGACUCCGUACGGGAGGCAGCAGGUGGGGAAUCUUGCGCAAGUGGGCGAAAGCCUGACGCAGCGACG
Molecule: ribosomal RNA, 371 nt
Filed under: uncultured bacterium
Lineage: Bacteria
Description: bacterial SSU rRNA
Rfam family: Bacterial small subunit ribosomal RNA
Source: RNAcentral